UACGGGGGGAGCAAGCGUUGUUCGGAUUUACUGGGCGUAAAGGGCGCGUAGGCGGUCGUGACAAGUCACUUGUGAAAUCUCCGGGCUUAACUCGGAACGGUCAAGUGAUACUGUCGGACUAGAGUACAGAAGGGGGCAACUGGAAUUCUCGGUGUAGCGGUGAAAUGCGUAGAUAUCGAGAGGAACACCUGCAGCGAAGGCAGCUCGCUGGGACGUUACUGACACUGAGGCGCGAAAGCGUGGGGAGCGAACAGG
This 255-nucleotide ribosomal RNA is filed under the name uncultured bacterium. Its description in RNAcentral is "partial 16S ribosomal RNA". It matches the Rfam family "Bacterial small subunit ribosomal RNA", at positions 524 to 776 of the family's 1533-position model. The record is from RNAcentral.